UACAGAGGGUGCGAGCGUUAAUCGGAAUUACUGGGCGUAAAGGGCGCGUAGGCGGUUUAUUGGGUGUGAUGUGAAAGCCUUGGGCUUAACCUGAGAAGUGCAUCGCAAACUAAAAGACUGGAGUAGAUGAGAGGGUGGCGGAAUUUCCGGUGUAGCGGUGAAAUGCGUAGAGAUCGGAAGGAACGUCAAUGGCGAAGGCAGCCACCUGGCAUCAUACUGACGCUGAGGCGCGAGAGCGUGGGGAGCGAACAGG
RNAcentral lists this ribosomal RNA (253 nucleotides) under uncultured bacterium. RNAcentral's name for it is "partial 16S ribosomal RNA". It matches the Rfam family "Bacterial small subunit ribosomal RNA", at positions 524 to 776 of the family's 1533-position model. The record is from RNAcentral.